RNAcentral lists this unclassified non-coding RNA (366 nucleotides) under uncultured fungus. RNAcentral's name for it is "sequence contains ITS1". The stretch from base 1 to 105 matches the Rfam family "5.8S ribosomal RNA", at positions 50 to 154 of the family's 154-position model. Lineage: Eukaryota; Fungi. The record is from RNAcentral.
GAAGUGCGAUAAGCAAUGCGAAUUGCAGAAUUCCGCGAAUCAUCAGAUCUUUGAACGCAAGUGGCGCCAGAGGGAUAUCCUUCUGGCAUGUCUGUUUCAGUGUCUGAGAGGUUUCACACUAAUCUUAAUGUGAUUGAACUGAGUUAGUAACUUUUAUUAGUUGCUAUACUCUUUUCUCUCAUGAAAGAUGCGCGAGUGGAUCUUUCGGUCCAAUGAAGUGGUCACAUCACUCGAAUGUGAUUUCAUUGGAAGCACCGAAUUAUCAUUAAUAAACUCGUGGUAUCAUUUAACUGAAUGAUGAUAUAUUAUCAUCAUCUCUCUCUACACCCUGCAUCUGAGACAGGCAAGAUCACCCGCUGAACUUAA